Molecule: ribosomal RNA, 322 nt
Filed under: uncultured eukaryote
Lineage: Eukaryota
Description: bacterial SSU rRNA
Rfam family: Eukaryotic small subunit ribosomal RNA
Source: RNAcentral
CAAUAGCGUAUAUUAAAGUUGUUGCGGUUAAAAAGCUCGUAGUUGGAUUUCUGUAUGAGGAGAGUGGUCCGCUCUACGAGCGCGCAUCUACUACUGCUCGUGCAUCCAGAAAGUUAAGGUGCGUUGCUUCGUUGCAAUGUCCGUAGCUUUCUCUUUUACUUUGAGGAAAUUAGAGUGUUCACGGCAGGCAAUCGCCCUGAAUACAUUAGCAUGGAAUAAUAAUAUAGGACUCCGGUUCUAUUUUGUUUGGUUUCUUAGAGCUGGAGUAAUGAUUAAUAGGGAGUAAUUGGGGGCGAUUCGUAUUAUCACGUCAGAGGUGGAA